GGGACGAACGCUGGCGGCGUGCUUAACACAUGCAAGUCGAGCGGUAAGGCCUUUCGGGGUACACGAGCGGCGAACGGGUGAGUAACACGUGGGUGAUCUGCCCUGCACUCUGGGAUAAGCCUGGGAAACUGGGUCUAAUACCGGAUAUGACCUGCUCUCGCAUGGGGGUGGGUGGAAAGAUUUAUCGGUGCAGGAUGGGCCCGCGGCCUAUCAGCUUGUUGGUGGGGUAAUGGCCUACCAAGGCGACGACGGGUAGCCGACCUGAGAGGGUGACCGGCCACACUGGGACUGAGACACGGCCCGGACUCCGUACGGGAGGCAGCAGUGGGGAAUAUUGGACAAUGGGCGCAAGCCUGAUCCAGCCAUGCCGCGUGAGUGAUGAAGGCCUUAGGGUUGUAAAGCUCUUUCACGUGGGAAGAUAAUGACGGUACCCACAGAAGAACGCCCCGGACUAACUACGUGCCAGCAGCCGC
Molecule: ribosomal RNA, 473 nt
Filed under: uncultured soil bacterium
Lineage: Bacteria
Description: bacterial SSU rRNA
Rfam family: Bacterial small subunit ribosomal RNA
Source: RNAcentral